Molecule: non-coding RNA, 1202 nt
Organism: Pelobates cultripes (western spadefoot toad)
Lineage: Eukaryota; Metazoa; Chordata; Amphibia; Anura; Pelobatidae
Source: the annotation of a GenBank genome assembly
CUUCUUUUAGACUUUGUUAGAUCAUUGGUCAAUGAAGGUUAACCAGUCACAGUCACUAAUCGUUCUCAAACUCAAUGGAAGUAGUGUAAUUAACUACCCCAAUAUUUCUCUUAUAUAAUGACCAGGAAAAUCCCCAGCAAUCUUACUCAGAAGGCAGAAAUAUCUCUGAACAGAAAGGGAAAAAGAAAAACUAUAAGGGGAAAAAGGUUAAAAGAAUGUGUUAAAAAACAGCAAAAGGCUUGCAAAGUACAGGGAAUUGUCUAAGGUGUGGCACUUUAGCCACUCUUGAAUCAAGAUGGUCAUCUGAACCAAGUGAUCAACCCACAUGCAAUCAUCACUGCACUUAGGGGGUCAGAAAUUGAGGGACUUGUUAGUCCACAGCCAUUAUCAGACUCAACAUCCUACUCUCACAUGGCUACCUAAAUCAAUAAAAGGCACUUAUGCAUGAGGCAGAUGCAAAGCAUGUAAACACAUCAAAAUGGAUUCCAAAAGUAUUUGGAACAGCUGGAAGAUGGAACAGUAUGUUGUGAAAUCUCUCUUCAACCGUACAGGAAUAGUUAAUUUUCUUACUUCCAGCCAGUUUAAGGCUACUUAACCUUCGACCAUUGCUCUAAUAAUGUCUAUAAGAAGAUACCAGUCACAAAACCUCAUUCUUGCAACUAUAUUACUGUGAGGGAGUUUGAGCAUCAAAUAGAAUACUCACACUCGCUUAUUGUUAGAUUAUGAAUGGUUACAUUGUGACUAUUAUCUUAGUUUUACUUUUUCAUUCCUUUGUUCUUGUGUUUAUUAUUUUCACCAGAUUAGAUAUUCCUGUCUUUUUCACAGAUAUUCAGUUAUUUGUUUUCAUGGUUAUUUUAAUACAGAAUGGUCAGGAUUAAUGCUUCUUUUACCUAAACUUUGUCAUGAAGGGAUUGUAAACAAAUCCAUGUAGGUACCAAUUUAGUAUUGUAUAACAAAGCAGAGUAAGUUUAUAAAACAAUGUAAAUUGUUUGAUUUUACUUUGACGAUUAAAAAUAAAAUCUGUUUGGCAUUCAGUUGCAGUUUAAAAUAUUUAUUAGACACAAUGACAAAUUUUAGUUUAAUCGCUACAUUUUUAUUUAAUGUAAUUAUUCUCUUAAAUUUACGGUAACCCUAAUUCUAAAUAAAUGAUAAAUGGAAAAAUAGCAUGACUAAAACACUUUUGUAUGCACACUUUAAGGAAG